GCCCUUAGAGUUUGAUCCUGGCUCAGGAUGAACGCUGGCGGCGUGCCUAAUACAUGCAAGUCGAACGAAUCUCUUUUAGAGAUGAGUGGCGAACGGGUGAGUAAUACAUAGGUAACCUGCCCCUGUGCGGGGGAUAACAGGAGGAAACUCCUGCUAAUACCGCAUAGCCAUGAGCACCGCAUGGAGCUCAUGCCAAAUAUCCUUUAUGGGAUAGCGCAGGGAUGGACCUAUGGCGCAUUAGCUGGUUGGCGGGGCAACGGCCCACCAAGGCAACGAUGCGUAGCCGGCCUGAGAGGGCGGACGGCCACAUUGGGACUGAGACACGGCCCAGACUCCUACGGGAGGCAGCAGUAGGGAAUUUUCGGCAAUGGGGGAAACCCUGACCGAGCAACGCCGCGUGAGCGAAGAAGGCCUUCGGGUCGUAAAGCUCUGUUGUAAAGGAAGAACGGCGCAUACAGGAAAUGGUAUGCGAGUGACGGUACUUUACCAGAAAGCCACGGCUAACUACGUGCCAGCAGCCGCGGUAAUACGUAGGUGGCGAGCGUUAUCCGGAAUCAUUGGGCGUAAAGAGGGAGCAGGCGGCCGCAAGGGUCUGUGGUGAAAGACCGAAGCUAAACUUCGGUAAGCCAUGGAAACCGGGCGGCUAGAGUGCGGAAGAGGAUCGUGGAAUUCCAUGUGUAGCGGUGAAAUGCGUAGAUAUAUGGAGGAACACCAGUGGCGAAGGCGACGGUCUGGGCCGCAACUGACGCUCAUUCCCGAAAGCGUGGGGAGCAAAUAGGAUUAGAUACCCUAGUAGUCCACGCCGUAAACGAUGGUCACUAAGUGUCGGGGGUCAAACCCCGGUGCUGCAGUCAACGCAAUAAGUGACCCGCCUGAGUAGUACGUUCGCAAGAAUGAAACUC
Molecule: ribosomal RNA, 902 nt
Filed under: uncultured bacterium
Lineage: Bacteria
Description: bacterial SSU rRNA
Rfam family: Bacterial small subunit ribosomal RNA
Source: RNAcentral